GCCUGCACGAAGUCGGAAUUGCUAGUAAUCGUAGGUCAGCAUACUACGGUGAAUACGUUCCCGGGCCUUGUACACACCGCCCGUCAAACCAUGAGAGUUGGCAACACCCGAAGUCGGUAGUCUAACCGCAAGGAGGACGCCGCCGAAGGUGGGGUUGAUGAUUAGGGUUAAGUCGUAACAAGGUAAC
This 187-nucleotide ribosomal RNA is filed under the name uncultured bacterium. RNAcentral's name for it is "partial 16S ribosomal RNA". It matches the Rfam family "Bacterial small subunit ribosomal RNA", at positions 1314 to 1500 of the family's 1533-position model. The record is from RNAcentral.